Molecule: long non-coding RNA, 4708 nt
Filed under: Sus scrofa (pig)
Lineage: Eukaryota; Metazoa; Chordata; Mammalia; Artiodactyla; Suidae
Description: lncRNA (ENSSSCG00015077468.1)
Source: RNAcentral
GGAGGUUCCCAGGCCAGGGGUCUAAUUAGAGCUGUAGCCACCAGCCUACACCAGAGCCACAGCAACGCUGGAUCCGAGCCGCAUCUGCAACCUACAUCACAGCUCACGGCAAUGCCAGAUCCUUAACCACAGAGCAAGGCCAGGGAUCGAACCUGAAACCUCAUGGUUCCUAGUCAGAUUCGUUAACCACUGAGCUACAAUAGGAACUCCAAGAUUACAUUACAUAAUAAAUACUGUAUAAUUUUCUUGAUAAUCAGGUAAGUUAGGUUUUUCAGGUCUUUUUUUUUUCUUUUUGGUUUGUUUUGUUUUUUAUUUUGUUGUAGUUGCUGCUUCAUCUUAUGUUUUAGGAAAUUAAGGUUUAGAGGGGUGAAGAAAAUUUUCUGAGUUUACACAACUAAUAAUAAAUGGCAGAUCCAAACCCAGGCCUAUAUUAUACUAAAGGGACAUUGCCAAAUUUAACAAAUACAGAUGUAAGACAACCAUUUAUUCUGAAUUUCAGAUAAACCACAAAUAAUUUUUAAAAUUUUUUUAAAUUGUAUUUUUUUACUAAAGUAUAGUUGAUUUAAAAUGUUGUGCCAAUUUCUGCUGUACAGAAAACAGCAAAGUGACUCAGUUACACACACACACACACACACACACACACACACAUGCAUUCUUUUCUUUUUGUUGCACUCAUGGCAUGUGGAAGCUCCUGAAAAAAUAUAAGCCGAGGAAAGAAGCAAUUGAACUUCAUGUUGUCAUGAUAUUCAGAGGUCAAUUUUUUUUUUAGUGAAUAACCAGUUAAAUCAAAUGCUCAUUUGAUAGGCUGCUACAGUUCUUCUGGACACUGGCCAUGGGAAUUAAGGCUGAUAUCCUUGAAAACACUGUAUAUAUCAAAUUUGAAUAUUCCCUUUUCUCCACUGUGAAAUUACUCGUUUCCAUUCAAAGCCUAUUCUGACUAUUAGGGUUGGCUAUUCAGAGCAGAGAUGAUUCAAUCAUGCUAAAUUUUUUUCCAGAUUUUGAAUUAUUUACUAAUCCUGAGACCCCUUGUACAGAUUAAGAAAUUAAAAUGAUCAUUAAUUUAAGUAAAAUGAGCUCAACUUAAUGUUUUUUCUGUUAAUGCUACAAAGGAGCUUAAAUCCUAAGAAAUCCUAGAAAGAUACCAUUACAUUCCUUUGAGAUUUCACCUUUCCGUGUUCUUUCAAAUUUUAUUUAUUUAUUUAUUUUUUUGGCCUUGAGAAUGUAUUUCUUUUACUUGGUUUUUGAUAUUGUGUGUAAUCUUCAAUUGUAUCCUGGACACUAUGAAUUUUAAGUACUGGGCAUUCUGGAUUCUGUUAUUUUUCUCCGACCAGAAUUUGCUUUUAGAAAGUCAUUUUCUCCCCUGAGUCUGUACCAACUCUGCUGGAUUUCUUGAGUGGCCACUCGCAUUUCAGUUUAGGACAUUUGCCUUGAGCUGAGUUGUUUCAGUCUGCUUUAUGCAUGUAUGUUCAGGGGUCAAUCACAAAUACAGGCAGUCAGAAUCUGGAGAUCCACUUUUGGGCUCUUGCCCUUGUGAGGUUUACUCACUCACUUCAGGUUUUGUGGCUUCUAAUUUCACUGGCCAGAAGGCCGUGGUCUUUCUGAGCCCCCGCUUCUUCUACAUGUAUCUCCUGGACAGCACUCAGCCCAGGAUAAUAGCUGUGGAGAUGGAAAUUUACUUAAAGUCAACGCCCUGUGUUCUCUCUUUCAAGCAAGCACGAACUCCCCAACAGGUCUGUCUUCUGUCCACUGCCCAGUAAUUUCAGGUAACAGUUUUAUGUAUUAUUUCCAGGUUUUAAAUUGUUUUCUGCAGAUUUUUUUUUUUCUAGUAGGGUCUUAGUCCAUCAUUUCCAGAAAUAGAACGCCCUACCUAAAUCCCUACUCUUCCAAACUACAAAGACACCAUUGAAUCCAUGCAUCUAUCUUGGAUUUGUUUGAAAUACCACUCCACCAAAGGCAACUCCUUUAAUUUCUAGUAGGUCCAACAUGACUAUAUGCUCUCAAUUAUUCAGUGUUAGUCAUUCUUGUACAUCUAGAUUUCAAUAAUUAUUUAUGUUCCCCUGAUAUUAUAUUCUUCUCUUCAUUAGUAUGGCCAUUAACCUACCAUCAAAUGGUAAAGUUCAAAAUAAUUAACUCUUAGUCAUGAUUUUUAGAAGACGUUCAGAAAAACAAAUAAGAGAGGAGCUGCGUAGUUGUGACUACAGUGAGGUUUGGGAAGUUCCCUGGGAACUCUGUUUUCUCAUACUGCGCUUGACCCCAUCUCUGUUUUAACUGUGUGAUCGGCUCUGCCAAGUUUCCUCUUGAAGCCAAUUUUAAGUUCUCUUUUUAAUUUGGUGGAUUAACCAAUGUACUCAUUGCAUAUUUAUUUACUAAACACUUUUUACUUCUCCCUCCUAAUUAUAUCUCUUUGUCUCUGCUAUUUAUCUCUGUUUCCCCUAUUGUGGUCUCUUUAUUGUGCCACCCACAAAGCCAGUAGCCUACCUUUGAUACAGUUUCUUACUUGGGCACUUUUUGUAUCCUUCCUUCCUUCUCAGAUAUGUACCCAUCACAGUAGCAACAGGUUACAAAAGAGUAAAUUUUUUCGUUCGUUGACAUCAUCCAUUUUCCCCAUACAACUGGGUCGAUCUUGAAGUAGUGUAAAUAUUUGCUUAGGAUUUUAUCCUAAUAUCCCACUCAGUGAGACAUCCGUGCUGAUAAAACAGCAGGGACGUGUCACAGAGCAGUUUCUACAUUCUACAACUCAACAACUAAAGGGAAUCUUUAUUUAAUUAAGUUUUUUUUAUCUGUCUCAUUUCCGCUCAUAAACAACACUGAAUUUCUCAGGGCCCUUAUUUGCAUUUUCCAUUUCCUUUACGCUAAUGGUGCCUUGAAUUCUUGGCUAGACCUCAUCAGAAAAGUCAUUUUCCCUUGAGUAUGAGUAACAGAUGGAGUAUACCUUUUAGACCUGCUCUAGAUUUCCCAACAGUCUUAGAAUGAAGCAGGUCACUGCCAAACCUAUUGUCUGGGAGGAUUCAAAUCCCACAGGUUUCGACAUCUAAUCAAGAGAGAUCAGACAAGAUACAAAUAAGCUGCCAAUAAUUAUUUUUUUCACAUGUAGUUUAAGAGAAAGAUAAUUUGCGGUUAUAUGUGGAUAUAAAAUACAUAUGCAGUACUUUAUGUCAGACACUGUUCAAGCACUUUGCUGAUGAGACUUUAAAUAGAUAUUCAAAGGGAAAAACAUAACAGGUCCAAGUUGCACACACUGGCUGUUUUUUUUCAGACCUGGAAGUUAGUGAGUUGGGGCUGGGUGAGAUGGCAGAAGUCAUAGAUUCUUAAAGUUCUCCUUUGUCAUUGAGAGAUUAUUGGGACGUGCUAAAGGUCUUAUCUGGGUGAGGAGUGACACAGCAGGGCGCACGAACGUCUUCGUGUGGAGGGCAGUGGAUCAGGAUCUUGUUUUUGUGGAAGGGUAGAGAAAUAUGUGUUUGAUUACAAGUAUCAAAAAGGCGGGGUGUUUCUGGGAAGUUGACCUGCACUGGGGGCCAGUAGUCAGUCUGCAGAACACGCUGGUCAGGAAGCCUGGUGGGCGUUCAGGACCCAACCCUUUCCAAAUCCCUUGGGAGUGACAAAGAGGAAUUUCUCACACCUACUCAGAGCCUGGCUCUCCGUGGGUGGUAUUACCCACAGCUGUACAUAGUCUAAAUGUGCUAGCAUCUUUUAGGAGCUGCCUCUGGUGGAACACAAGAAUAUAAAAAUACUGUGACCUAAAAAAAAUUGCCCUUCUCUGAACUCUAGGCAAAGUUGUAAACAUUGCUGACAUUUCUUUCUUUCUUUUUUUUUUUUUUUUUUUUUUUUUCUUUUUUUUUUUUUUUUGCCAUUUCUUGGGCCACUUCCGCCCCGGCAUAUGGAGGUUCCCAGGCUAGGGGUCAAAUCGGAGCUGUAGCCGCCAGCCUACACCAGAGCCACAGCAACACGGGAUCCGAGCCGCGUCUGCGACCUACACCGCAGUUCAUGGCAACGCCGGAUCGUUAACCCGCUGAGCAAGGGCAGGGACCGAACCUGCAACCUCAUGGUUCCUAGUCCGAUUCAUUAACCACUGCGCCACGAUGGGAACUCCUGCUGACAUUUCUUGAUGUCAAUUGGAUUGUACUUUCUAGCAUUCUUUCUUCAUUGGUUUAGACUGGACUGAGACAUACAAAUGAUGACCGUAUUCCUAAUGAUAAUAUCUAUAAUUGUCCAAAAAUCUACUAAAACUGUACGAGAUAAAAAGUUUAAAACAUGACUUUAACAAUCAUGACUAUGAAGACCUUGAAGAACGGAGUUUUAGGUUAAUUCUGAAGAGUUUUACCUGUCUAGAAUGUCCAUUGCCUAUCCCUUGCCUAUUGAAUAGGAUGCUUUCUGAGCUAUCCUGCAUCCUGCGCUUGUGCAGUGUUUGAAGUGCCCCUGGAGAGCGUUAUGAUUUCCUUUGUACUUUUCAUACAAAUUUAGCACAUUUACAUGCAACUCCAGGGUUAUCGAAAAAGGAAAUGGAGAAUUCAAAAUUGAGGAAAACGCUAAUUUGAACACAGUGUUCAGUAGGGCUAUUUUAGGAUAGUAUAUCAAAUGUAAUGGAAAGAGGGGAGACGUACUAAUAAGCUCUUAUAUUAGAGCAAAGUAAAAAAAAGACACUUAUUUGAAUUGGAUGUAGCAACAUGACUUAUGACCUUCUAAGAAAAUGUAUCUAAUUGGAAUUGGU